GAUGAACGCUAGCUACAGGCUUAACACAUGCAGGUCGAGGGGCGAGCAUGGUCGUUAGUCUUGCUAAGGCCGAUGGCGACCGGCGGCACGGGUGAGUAACACGUAUCCAACCUGCCGUCUACUCUUGGACAGCCUUCUGAAAGGAAGAUUAAUACAAGAUGGCAUCAUGAGUCCGCAUGUUCACAUGAUUAAAGGUAUUCCGGUAGACGAUGGGGAUGCGUUCCAUUAGAUAGUAGGC
RNAcentral lists this ribosomal RNA (238 nucleotides) under uncultured bacterium. RNAcentral describes it as "partial 16S ribosomal RNA". It matches the Rfam family "Bacterial small subunit ribosomal RNA", at positions 28 to 253 of the family's 1533-position model. The record is from RNAcentral.